RNAcentral lists this ribosomal RNA (253 nucleotides) under uncultured bacterium. Its description in RNAcentral is "partial 16S ribosomal RNA". It matches the Rfam family "Bacterial small subunit ribosomal RNA", at positions 524 to 776 of the family's 1533-position model. The record is from RNAcentral.
UACGAAGGGGGCUAGCGUUGUUCGGAAUUACUGGGCGUAAAGCGCGCGCAGGCGGUUCUUUAAGUCAGGGGUGAAAGCCCAGAGCUCAACUCUGGAAUUGCCUUUGAAACUAGAGGACUUGAGUACGGGAGAGGUGAGUGGAAUUCCGAGUGUAGAGGUGAAAUUCGUAGAUAUUCGGAAGAACACCAGUGGCGAAGGCGGCUCACUGGCCCGUUACUGACGCUCAGGCGCGACAGCGUGGGGAGCAAACAGG